UACAGAGGUCCCGAGCGUUGUUCGGAUUCACUGGGCGUAAAGGGUGCGUAGGUGGCAUGGCCAGUUUGAUGUGAAAGCUCAGGGCUUAACCCUGAAAUGGCAUUGAAUACUGCUGUGCUGGAGGUUUGGAGGGGGGGACUGGAAUUCUUGGUGUAGCAGUGAAAUGCGUAGAUAUCAAGAGGAACACCAGUGGCGAAGGCGAGUCCCUGGACAACACCUGACACUGAGGCACGAAAGCCGGGGGAGCAAACAGG
Molecule: ribosomal RNA, 254 nt
Filed under: uncultured bacterium
Lineage: Bacteria
Description: partial 16S ribosomal RNA
Rfam family: Bacterial small subunit ribosomal RNA
Source: RNAcentral